RNAcentral lists this ribosomal RNA (253 nucleotides) under uncultured bacterium. RNAcentral describes it as "partial 16S ribosomal RNA". It matches the Rfam family "Bacterial small subunit ribosomal RNA", at positions 524 to 776 of the family's 1533-position model. The record is from RNAcentral.
UACGUAGUGGGCAAGCGUUGUCCGGAUUUAUUGGGCGUAAAGAGCGUGUAGGCGGUUUGGUAGGUCCGCUGUGAAAACUCGAGGCUCAACCUCGAGACGCCGGUGGAAACCAUCAGGCUAGAGUCCGGAAGAGGAGAGUGGAAUUCCUGGUGUAGCGGUGAAAUGCGCAGAUAUCAGGAGGAACACCAAUGGCGAAGGCAGCUCGCUGGGACGGUACUGACGCUGAGACGCGAAAGCGUGGGGAGCAAACAGG